This 801-nucleotide ribosomal RNA is filed under the name Triticum aestivum (bread wheat). Its description in RNAcentral is "partial small subunit ribosomal RNA". Lineage: Eukaryota; Viridiplantae; Streptophyta; Magnoliopsida; Poales; Poaceae. The record is from RNAcentral.
AUGGAGGACGACCAUCGCUUGCCCCGGGUAUUCCAAGGUUUCAAGAGACUAACUUACCUCAGCCUGAGCAUUUUCUCCUCCACGGACAGGGAUAUCCAAAAUUUGAUCUCCUUUUGCCCUGAACUGACUGAUUUGAGAUUAACUUCUUUUGAGGGCAUCAACUGUCUAAACAUUCAAGCCCCUAAACUGGAAUAUCUUUGUGUUGUUGGGGACAUUGAAGACAUUAAUUUGGAUGCCCCUAAUCUGGACGAGGCCAUUCUCUGUCUUGAUCAGAAAGCUAAAUCGUAUCAAUCUGUUCCAGUUGCGCAUAACAAGGAAAGCAAUGUCACGUCAUUGGAAAGCCUAAGUGGCAUUAAAAAACUUGGAAUUAUUGGCACUUUCAUGAAGGGGUGCAUACUUACGAAGCUCCCUGCCGUGUUUACUCGCCUGGAAGAUAUUGGUUUUAUGAUAAAUUUUGAGGAUCAGAGACAAGUCUUGACCGCGUGUUCAUUGUUACAGAAUGCCCCUAACUUGAAGAAGCUUCUCAUGUGGAGUGACUCUUCGAGCACAUGGGAUCAGGAUCAGGCCAGCAUUCAAGAGCUUACCCUGCAAAUGCAAAUGGACCAUCUCAUAACGGCCUGUGUGAAAUGUUUCCAGGGUUUGGACUACGAAGUCGAGUUCGUGGGAAAGCUAUUGAGCUGUGCACCUGCUUUGGAAGAAUUGAAAAUAGAGUGGGAGGGUGAAAUGGCCCGCAGCAUUGUUCUUACCAAGCUAUUAGCUCUGCCGAGGGUGUCUCCCAGGGCCAAGAUCAUUGUUACAUGA